RNAcentral lists this ribosomal RNA (505 nucleotides) under uncultured bacterium. Its description in RNAcentral is "bacterial SSU rRNA". It matches the Rfam family "Bacterial small subunit ribosomal RNA", at positions 28 to 531 of the family's 1533-position model. The record is from RNAcentral.
GACGAACGCUGGCGGCGUGCCUAACACAUGCAAGUCGAGCGGAGAUAAGCGGAUGGUAACUGAAGUUUGUCUUAGCGGCGGACGGGUGAGUAACACGUGGGCAACCUGCCUUGGAGUGGGGGAUAACACCGGGAAAUCGGUGCUAAUACCGCAUAACAUACACAUACUGCAUGGUGAGUGUAUCAAAGGAGCAAUCCGCUUUAAGAUGGGCCCGCGGCUGAUUAGCUAGUUGGUAAGGUAACGGCUUACCAAGGCGACGAUCAGUAGCCGACCUGAGAGGGUGACCGGCCACACUGGGACUGAGACACGGCCCAGACUCCUACGGGGGGCAGCAGUGGGGGAUCUUGCACAAUGGGCGAAAGCCUGAUGCAGCGACGCCGCGUGAGCGAAGAAGGCCUUCGGGUUGUAAAGCGUCUGUCUGGAGGGACGAACGAAAAUAGACGGUACCUCCGGACGGAAGCCACGGCUAACUACGUGCCAGCAGCCGCGGUAAUCUAGUCGUACG